GUAGGUGGCAAGCGUUGUCCGGAAUUAUUGGGCGUAAAGCGCGCGCAGGCGGUUCUUUAAGUCUGAUGUGAAAGCCCACGGCUCAACCGUGGAGGGUCAUUGGAAACUGGAGAACUUGAGUACAGAAGAGGAAAGCGGAAUUCCACGUGUAGCGGUGAAAUGCGUAGAGAUGUGGAGGAACACCAGUGGCGAAGGCGGCUUUCUGGUCUGUAACUGACGCUGAGGCGCGAAAGCGUGGGGAGCAAACAGGGAUUAGAUACCCUGGUAGUCCACGCCGUAAACGAUGAGUGCUAAGUGUUAGGGGGGUUUCCGCCCCCCUUAGUGCUGCAGCUAACGCAUUAAGCACUCCGCCUGGGGUGUACGGCCGCAAGGCUG
Molecule: ribosomal RNA, 375 nt
Filed under: uncultured organism
Description: partial 16S ribosomal RNA
Rfam family: Bacterial small subunit ribosomal RNA
Source: RNAcentral